Molecule: transfer RNA, 73 nt
Rfam family: tRNA
About the family: Transfer RNA (tRNA) molecules are approximately 80 nucleotides in length.
Source: Rfam
CGGGGCGUUGCCUAGCGGCCAUGGCACCUGCUUUGGGAGCAGGAUAUCGGAGGUUCGAGUCCUCUCGCCCCGA